AAUAUAAAAACUUACACUAUGAUAUCAAUGAGUUUGUAAAACAUAUGUGAUAUUUUUCAUUAGUAAUAGACGAAGUUUAGUUCUGUUUCAUUAAUCCACAAGGAUAUUUAGGGACUAACUCAUAUAUGUGAUAUUUCUGAAGCUCAACGAUUUGCAUUAUUUAUUCAAAAAAUACCUCUAAAAAUCUAUAUUAGUGCAUAUUAUAUAAGAUCAAU
RNAcentral lists this long non-coding RNA (215 nucleotides) under Carica papaya (papaya). Its description in RNAcentral is "long non-coding RNA (CPAP_LNC009060)". The record is from RNAcentral. Lineage: Eukaryota; Viridiplantae; Streptophyta; Magnoliopsida; Brassicales; Caricaceae.